GUAGGUGGCAAGCGUUGUCCGGAAUUAUUGGGCGUAAAGCGCGCGCAGGUGGUUCGUUUAAGUCUGAUGUGAAAGACCCCCCGGGCUCGAAACCCGGGGAGGGGUCAUUGGAAAACUGGGGGAACUUGAGUGCAGGAGAGGAAAGUGGAGUUCCACGUGUAGCGGUGAAAUGCGUAGAUAUGUGGAGGAACACCAGUGGCGAAGGCGACUUUCUGGCCUGUAACUGACACUGAGGCGACGAAAGCGGUGGGGAGACAAACAGGAUUAGACUACCCUGGUAGUCCACCGACCGUAAACGAUGAGUGCUAAGUGUGGGGGUUUCCGCCCCUCAGUGCUGCAGCUAACGCAUUAAGCACUCCGCCUGGGGAGUACGGUCGCAAAGACUG
This 386-nucleotide ribosomal RNA is filed under the name uncultured organism. RNAcentral describes it as "partial 16S ribosomal RNA". It matches the Rfam family "Bacterial small subunit ribosomal RNA", at positions 527 to 896 of the family's 1533-position model. The record is from RNAcentral.